GUGAACGCUGGCGGCGUGCUUAACACAUGCAAGUCGAACGAUGAAGUCCCUCGGGAUGGAUUAGUGGCGCACGGGUGAGUAAUAUAUAGUUAAUGUGCCUCGAAGACUGGGAUAGCCACUGGAAACGGUGAUUAAUACUAGAUACACCUCUUUAGCUCAAGCUAGAGAGGGAAACGUUUUUUCGCUUCGAGAUCAGACUAUAUCCUAUCAGUUAGUUGGUGAGGUAAUGGCCUACCAAGGCGACGAUGGUUAGCUGGUCUGAGAGGAUGAUCAGCCACACUGGAACUGAGAUACGGUCCAGACUCCUACGGGAGGCAGCAGUGAGGAAUAUUGCACAAUGGGGGGAACCCUGAUGCAGCAACGCCGCGUGGAGGAUGACGCAUUUCGGUGUGUAAACUCCUUUUAUAUGUCAAGAAAAUGACGGUAGCAUAUGAAUAAGCACCGGCUAACUCCGU
RNAcentral lists this ribosomal RNA (455 nucleotides) under uncultured bacterium. Its description in RNAcentral is "bacterial SSU rRNA". It matches the Rfam family "Bacterial small subunit ribosomal RNA", at positions 29 to 506 of the family's 1533-position model. The record is from RNAcentral.